This 76-nucleotide transfer RNA is filed under the name Candidatus Giovannonibacteria bacterium RIFCSPHIGHO2_02_43_16. RNAcentral's name for it is "tRNA-Arg". It matches the Rfam family "tRNA". From Rfam's summary of the family: Transfer RNA (tRNA) molecules are approximately 80 nucleotides in length. Their secondary structure includes four short double-helical elements and three loops (D, anti-codon, and T loops). The record is from RNAcentral. Lineage: Bacteria; Candidatus Giovannoniibacteriota.
GCCCUCGUAGGCUAAUUGGAUAAACCGCAGGGUUUCUAUCCCUGAUUUGGAGGUUCGAAUCUUCCCGAGGGCGCUA